This 66-nucleotide transfer RNA is filed under the name Haliotis asinina. RNAcentral's name for it is "tRNA-Cys". It matches the Rfam family "tRNA". From Rfam's summary of the family: Transfer RNA (tRNA) molecules are approximately 80 nucleotides in length. Lineage: Eukaryota; Metazoa; Mollusca; Gastropoda; Lepetellida; Haliotidae. The record is from RNAcentral.
GGUUUUGUAGUUGAAUUGACAACGUCAAAUUGCAAAUUUGAAGGUGUGUAGGUUACUCUAAAACUU